GACGAACGCUGGCGGCGUGCUUAACACAUGCAAGUCGAACGGAAGGGCCCUUCGGGGUACUCGAGUGGCGAACGGGUGAGUAACACGUGGGUGAUCUGCCCUGCACUUUGGGAUAAGCCUGGGAAACUGGGUCUAAUACCGAAUAGGACCACGCGCUUCAUGGUGUGUGGUGGAAAGCUUUUGCGGUGUGGGAUGGGCCCGCGGCCUAUCAGCUUGUUGGUGGGGUAAUGGCCUACCAAGGCGACGACGGGUAGCCGGCCUGAGAGGGUGACCGGCCACACUGGGACUGAGAUACGGCCCAGACUCCUACGGGAGGCAGCAGUGGGGAAUAUUGCACAAUGGGCGCAAGCCUGAUGCAGCGACGCCGCGUGAGGGAUGACGGCCUUCGGGUUGUAAACCUCUUUCAAUAGGGACGAAGCGCAAGUGACGGUACCUAUAGAAGAAGCACCGGCCAACUACGUG
This 462-nucleotide ribosomal RNA is filed under the name uncultured bacterium. RNAcentral describes it as "partial 16S ribosomal RNA". It matches the Rfam family "Bacterial small subunit ribosomal RNA", at positions 28 to 507 of the family's 1533-position model. The record is from RNAcentral.